Molecule: non-coding RNA, 135 nt
Organism: Triticum aestivum (bread wheat)
Lineage: Eukaryota; Viridiplantae; Streptophyta; Magnoliopsida; Poales; Poaceae
Source: Rfam
UUUAUACUCCCUCCAUUCUAAAAUUCUUGUCUUAGAUUAGUCUAGAUACGGAUGUAUAUAAUACCAAAACAUGACUUGAUACGUCCGUAUUUAGACAAAUCUAAGACAAGAAUUUUGGGACGGAGGGAGUAUUUU